This 799-nucleotide long non-coding RNA is filed under the name Hordeum vulgare. RNAcentral describes it as "long non-coding RNA (HVUL_LNC015483)". Lineage: Eukaryota; Viridiplantae; Streptophyta; Magnoliopsida; Poales; Poaceae. The record is from RNAcentral.
CUUUGUUCUCGUAAGUCCUCGGGGUCUUCGAGGUCUUCCGGCCAACUCCGAGUAUUGUAUCUACCUGUCAACUAUCGUAGGAAACAAUCUCAGUAAGCCAUACAGCAAGCAGAGACCAAAGUGCUAAAUAAAUAGGAGUUUUAUUUUUCUUGGACCUCUCUGGUCAUAAGAAAAAUACCUAAAGCUUGCCAUAGGAGGUUUGGAUCGUUAGGAAAUUUUGACUGGAUGAAAGGAGGAAUAUGUGAUCCUUUAAUAAUCCUAUAUAAAAUAUUUUGGUAAAAAUAAGUGGAGGCACUCAUUAAACAGAGCAUGAUUUUAGAAAUAUUUAGGAAGUUGUUUCACUGGAUUUGUAGUUGAUAUGAAUAUACUAGGGAUUUUCUAAUAUUGGAUAAAUAGCAAAAUGGAGCUAUUUAUUUAUUGCAAGAGAAAUAUGCGAGCUAAAAAAUGUUGACCAUGGUUUCAAAAAUAGGGCAAGUUAUAGGAAGGAUCUAGAAAUUGGAAUGACUCCAAUUGGAGUUUAUUUGAAUGCUAUAGGAACUUACAAAGUGGGGCUUAAAGCAUACAAAUGGGCAUUUGAAUAUUAAUCCCACAUAAAUUCUUCUGGAAAAAUGUGCAAUGCACAUAAAUGGAUAGGUCUUGAUUUCAGGGACCUGCAGAAAUUUGAAUCAUCAAUUUUGGAGCUCAAAUGAUUAUUCUAUAGAUUUUUGAAAUUUCAAACAAAAACAAAAAGAAAAGAUGGGCUACCGGAGAGUCUAAAGCACGCUCAGGGCGUGAGGACGGAGCUGGGCCCCCUGGCAGC